Molecule: ribosomal RNA, 233 nt
Filed under: uncultured bacterium
Lineage: Bacteria
Description: partial 16S ribosomal RNA
Rfam family: Bacterial small subunit ribosomal RNA
Source: RNAcentral
UGAGCAAUCUGCCCUUCUCAUCGGAAUAAGCGUUGGAAACGACGUCUAAUGCCGAAUACGACCUCCUUUCGCAUGAUCGGAGGUGGAAAGCUCCGGCGGAGAAGGAUGAGCUCGCGGCCUAUCAGCUAGUUGGUGUGGGUAAUGGCCCACCAAGGCGACGACGGGUAGCCGGCCUGAGAGGGUGACCGGCCACACUGGGACUGAGACACGGCCCAGACCUCCGUACGGGAGCA